Molecule: transfer RNA, 60 nt
Filed under: Metarhizium anisopliae
Lineage: Eukaryota; Fungi; Ascomycota; Sordariomycetes; Hypocreales; Clavicipitaceae
Description: tRNA-Ser
Source: RNAcentral
AGGUGACACUAAAUGGAAAGGAUGAUCUUGAAAAUUACUUCUUAUUGUGUUAGUCAUUUA